CCGGUUGUGUCCGAUAGGGGCCAUCUCAUCCGGGAAGCUGGCGUUUUCACGGGAACGUCUCAUCCAUUCCUCAAAUAUGGCAUCGGUGAAUGCAUGAAGCACCUAUUUGGCCAAAGAUUGGGUCAUUGGCGGCGGAGUGGGACAGAGCGCUGGUCCCGUUGAGAAACACGUGAACCAGGUUGUGCAAAUUGGACACAGAGCUGUCCAGCUCACCGUCUGGCUUAUCGUAUCCUUCCAGUGCGUUCCUUCAAGGAAAGUGACUGAUCUGAACUGUGUGACGUCAAAGACAGCGGAUGG
This is a long non-coding RNA of Labeo rohita (rohu), 297 nucleotides long. RefSeq lists it as uncharacterized. The record is from RefSeq and is a predicted model, not a curated record. The transcript is spliced from 3 exons. NCBI's taxonomy places the organism in Eukaryota, Metazoa, Chordata, Actinopteri, Cypriniformes, Cyprinidae.